GACAGAGGGGGCAAGCGUUGCUCGGAAUCACUGGGCGUAAAGGGCGCGUAGGCGGGAUGGCAAGUCAGUCGUGAAAUCUCUCGGCUCAACCGAGAAACGUCGGCUGAUACUGCCGUUCUUGAGGGAUGCAGAGGAGACUGGAAUUCCCGGUGUAGCGGUGAAAUGCGCAGAUAUCAGGAAGAACACCCGUGGCGAAGGCGGCUCUCUGGGACGGUACUGACGCUGAGACGCGAAAGCGUGGGGAGCGAACAGG
RNAcentral lists this ribosomal RNA (253 nucleotides) under uncultured bacterium. RNAcentral describes it as "partial 16S ribosomal RNA". It matches the Rfam family "Bacterial small subunit ribosomal RNA", at positions 524 to 776 of the family's 1533-position model. The record is from RNAcentral.